GACGUAGGGGGCCAGCGUUGCUCGGAAUUACUGGGCGUCAAGGGUUCGUAGGCGGUGUGGCACGUCGGAAGUGAAAUCUCCAGGCUUAACUUGGAGGCUGCUUCCGAAACUGCCGUGCUAGAGUGCGGGAGAGGCCAGUGGAAUUGCAGGUGUAGCGGUGAAAUGCGUAGAUAUCCGUAGGAACAUCCGAGGCGAAGGCGGCUCGCUGGAUCACAACUGACGCUGAGGGACGAAAGCUAGGGGAGCAAACAGG
This 253-nucleotide ribosomal RNA is filed under the name uncultured bacterium. RNAcentral describes it as "partial 16S ribosomal RNA". It matches the Rfam family "Bacterial small subunit ribosomal RNA", at positions 524 to 776 of the family's 1533-position model. The record is from RNAcentral.